GGCUGCACAGAUAGCCAGAUGGAAAAAGCAAGUUGCACUGGGGACUCCAGCUUCUGGGUGGGAGGAGGAAGAUCCCAACCAGGAACCACUGCAGAAGGGACCUCUGUGCUGACCUAGAGGGAGAGCUGGGGUGAGUGCAGCCGGGGAGAGGUGGGUGUGAGGCCUGGUCCUGUCUGAGAGGCAGGGGUGGGGCCGAUGCCCAGGAAGAGUGAACAUUCUGAGCACACUGCCUGCUCAGAGCUGGGACCGCAUGGGUAAGGCCAUUCGGUGAGUGUUUUCCAAAUGGGCAAGUCCCUGAGCUAUUAGGAAUUGGAGAACUUUGAAGCUGAAGAGCCUGUAGAGGCCGUGGCAUGAGACCCCCUCAUGUUGCAGAGGCUGAGCCCUCCAGUGUGGCAGGAGCAGCUCAAGCCAUACUGCUGGACCUGACCAGUAGCUUCCACCGGAAGUUCGUUUGGGGCAGUUUCGAGGUCCCUCACAGUGCAGACCCCAGGGCCCAGUGUGCAGCAUUUGUGCCAGAAAGGAGAGGAAUGGCCCUGACAUCCAGGCGCUUUUGUGAGUGUUGGCUGAGCACCUUGCCAGCCCUAGGACGCUGGAGUGAACGUGCGUGGCAGCAUCUGUCAGUCAUGUCCCUCCCCAGUGUGACUCCAGCCAUGGCCAUUCAUCACCUGCAUCCUUGGGCCCCAUGGGAACUAGCCCAACCCCUUAUCCAGCUGCCUUUGACUGCUGUGCCCCACACCCGCCUCUCGGGCCUCAGUGCCUUUGGCCAGAACAUUUGUCCAGUGCUGAAUGGGGUCCCCAGAAGAUAUGUGCAAAUCCUGAUCCCCAGGACCUGUGAGUGUUGACCCUCUUUGAUAAAAAAGAGUCUUUGCAGGUGUAAUGAAGGUAGGGUGCUUUGGUUUGAAUAUGGUUUGUUCUCCCGAAGUUAUGUUGAAAUUGAAUCUCCACUGUGAAGUAUUAGGAGGGUGGGACCAGAAUCUGACUGUGGUGUCAGAGGUGGGCCCUUUGGAAGGGGAUUAGGAUUAGAUGAAGGUCAUCUGGGUGGAGCCCUGGGUGUGAAUCUGGAUGGGUUUGUAGGAGAGAAGGGCCAGAUAGUCACCAAUACAUGUGUCUCUCACCAUGCAGGGCUGCCCCAGGCGUCAGCCAGCAAGAAGACAUCACCAAAUGAGGUCCUUUGGCCUUUCCCCAGACCCCU
Molecule: long non-coding RNA, 1192 nt
Organism: Heterocephalus glaber (naked mole-rat)
Lineage: Eukaryota; Metazoa; Chordata; Mammalia; Rodentia; Bathyergidae
Source: Ensembl